Long non-coding RNA from Carassius auratus (goldfish), 620 nucleotides. RefSeq lists it as uncharacterized. Lineage: Eukaryota; Metazoa; Chordata; Actinopteri; Cypriniformes; Cyprinidae. The record is from RefSeq and is a predicted model, not a curated record. The transcript is spliced from 2 exons.
GACCGCUGGGCAGACAGCGGCAUGUCAAUGUGACAACCGAACGAGCGGCUGCAGAUGCGCCUCUGAACGCGGAGGAAGGAGGAGGUUGUCAGUGCGAGGGACUCUAAAAAGCUUCCAGACGGCUCUCACCUGGUGGAUUUUGCCUCAUUCGCACGGCAAAAUCUUAACGUUAGGAGUGCGACACGCUACUAUUUAUCCAUCUGCGUUAAAAGAAGACGGCGCGCGCUUAUUUUCAUUUGCGUGGCGCGGGCUUUCCGCUCUCUGGAGCAUUGCGCUAGAUGAACGGAAUACAUGCCGCUUAAUUGACCGGAAUGACUUAUGUUGAAACGGUAGAAGUGGAUUAGGCUGAUGAUGGCAUCAUCUGUAUUAUUAAAAGAAAUUAACGACCUUGCUUCUGCCUAACUGAAACCACCGCUACCUGAUUGUGACCUUUUUACCUUUAUCUGCCCAACCAGUAAAAUUGCAUACACCACCUUCAAUCUGAAUUACGGGAGACGGGACAUCGCAUCUGUUGACAGCACAUCAGUCAGGGCCUAGGGAAGGCCCUCUGUUGGAUUGAAGUGAUCACCACAAAUGGUUGAUUAUUUUUUGAAGUGAAGUGCUUUUGCCACAAAAUUUUU